AAGAGCUGAAGGCCAGAACCGACUCCUUCAGAAACAAGUAUAAAAUGAGACAGGACUCAAAGUGCUUAAAAUACUUCGGUGACAGGCAACAAAGAAAUGCCUGUUACCAUAAUUGCUUGAAUUAAGUAGAGUCAGGAAAUCUUGAGAACUUUUUAAAAAGUAGAGGUUUGAUGUGUGGGGAGUGUAAGAACAAAAUUCUCUUGGGCCAUGGCCGGAGCCCUGAAUCAGCAGAACUCUUUUCCUUGAAGAAAGUGAAAAGCAGAGGAGGUGCUGGCAGCUGUAAUAUGGCAGCUCUGAAAACCUGAAAGUGAAACUCAUUCCAGUAACUUGAGACUGAUGCUAGUGACUUUCCAUUAGCUAAGCUGAGAGAAACAAUCAAAAAAGAGGCACGGAAGAAGCUGCCUGGUACCUUUUCGUUCCAGUUUUCAGCAGACGGUGCUGAAGUAAAAGAAACAUAUGUCACGUCUUCCCAUUAUUCUGCCUAACUGUCACGGCGAUUUACCCAUGAGCUGACGUGAUAGCCAUAGAGGGAGACGGAGCAAGACCUUUUGCAUAACUCAGGGCUCGAGGAAAUCCUAGACGCAGACGUGAGGGGGCAGCUCGGUGUCUGCCGGUCAGCACCGCGGGGCUCUCCCCGCUGAGAUCAGCUGGUGAGUUCAGUGGCCUGUCUUGACCUCUCCUCACCCAGCUGAAGGAAUGAAACCCUGCUCAGCUGUCCCUGCCAUAUCCCUUACAGCAGGCAACGUCUUUGCUGCAGAGUCAUCUGAAUUGCUGGGUGCUGGGUUGGUGUCCACCCAUAAGAGCUGGUUGGUGUCCACCUGUGGGGCUGGUGUCCACCCCACACAGGGACCCUGGUGCUGCUGUGCCCAUACAAAUGCAGCUCUUGGCAGCUCCAGGUGCAUCACGGGGCUCCCAAGUUUUUGCAGUGAGUGGGUUAUCCUGAAUUCUGCAUUGCAAAGAGCAGAAAAACUGGUGUUGCAUCCCUCCUGGCUUCUAUGAGGGCACAAACUCAGACCAUCAUGCACGUCCCUGCGGACAGGCCACUUGGUGGUAACAACUUGUAUUUACUGGUGACCAGGUCUGGACUGAGGCAGUUGUCUGGAACUGAAUUGCCAGUCCCCAGUGUACUCAAGUCCCCUUUAACCUGUCGGAUGUUCAUCCCACAGGCUUUUUGUCUUUUCAGAAAUCAGUGGCUUAUUGGUGGGGCUGAUCUCUGUUAGUAACACUGCUCUCACGUGGAGGUCACCAGCAUCUCUAACAUCCACGUCUGCUUUACAUAAGCCUUCAAUAUAAAACCACAAUAGCUUUGCAUGCUGAAGGGCAAGUCUUGUUUGUGUUAUGCAGGCAUUACCACAUUUUCAGCUGAUCUUUUAAGUGGUUCCUAAUAAAAUUAUUAGGCGACUGGAAAAUCUUCAGUAACAUUUUUAAAUGCAAUCCAGCUUCACAAUAAUAAACUCAGCUUUUAACAACCCUCGUUUAUAACAAUUCCAACAGCAAGAACUAAUUUUCUCUUUGGUAAUGAGGACUAUUAGAAUGACUGUUCACACAGAGCUGACCUGGAUUCAAUAGUCAUGCUUUUUGCUAUUUUCACAGCAUGCUGUGUUUAGCAUGUAAAAACGUACAGCUUUCUGUCUUUAGAAAUGGUUUAGAAACUUCUCUCUUUAGAAAUUGUUUAAAGGUUGCUAAAAUGAAAGCACAGAAGUAAAAUACAGCGAUGUCCUAUGCAAAUAACAGGUUUAUUCGUUAUUCUGAUCCAGAAAAUUGCUGAACCCCGCUAUAAUGUGUACUUUCACAAAGGGAGCAUUCAUCUCAUUCCCACCGGGGUUUGUUAUGGUGAGAUUACACCACUUCAGCUUUCAGUGUGGGGAAAGGACAUGAUUAUUUUAGUGUUGACAGCAUUUAUCAUUCCACGGGCCUGCUGGCUCUAGCUUGCAGAGCUGGAAGAUAUUGUCUCCUGAAAGCCCCGGCGAAACUCAGAUUACUUCCGAUGUAGCGAGGUGAUCGAGCAGUUCCCACCAAGCCUUGUCCAUCAAAACUGGCAGCGUCCUGCUCCUCACUGCCCCCCGCACAGGGCCAGGGUCACCACGGUCUCUCUGCUGCUCUUCCCCAGUGACCUGCUGGUGGCUCAGGAGUGAGGCCGAGCUGGCUGGGAGCUGCAGGACCAUGCUGGCGCUCCUCAUCCAGGUCUCACCUCCCAUACUUCAGCCAGCUGUGUGCACAUGUCCUUCACUGAGCCUCCAGCAGUUCUCAGGGAAGAGCCCUGCAUGUACCUUCCUUCUGCUGAGCGGGACAUCUCAUCCAGGAAAAGGUAAGUUUGGUCCUAUUGCCCUCUUGUGGCUGCCCAAAAGAGGCUACAGUAGAGUCUCACCGGCAGUCAUUUGCAGAAGUGGCACCUGCUAACAUAACUUUCCUGUAAGUUGAAAGCAGUGCCGGGCCCCUAAGUGUAGAUGUGCAGUGUAAGCUGGUGCACCAGCCAUGGGACCGUGAUGUUUCUGAAAGGGACUUGGGGGUACGGCACUGUGACAGCAGGAGACCAGGCAUGAGGACAUCUCAGACCAAACCUUCCUCCCCUCUUCUUCCACCACCCUUGCCUUUGCCUUGUGCCUAUUUUUCAGCCGCAUGGGAAAACCCCCUUGCUGUGGUUUGGCAGCAUGCCCUACUGCUCUCCCAUUCAAAGGUGGCCACUAAAAACACGCUGGCAGCCCUAGCAGGAAACCCUUUCCUUACCGUGUGUCCUGUACCCCAUAAGUUUACGAUAAGGUGUAUGGGAGUAGCACUUCUCUCCCUGUAGGAUGGUGACGUAUGUGCAGAGCUUGGAAAGGAUGCAUCCAGUGCCUCUGGUGUUGUGACAGGUGUUAAAAGCUGAAAAACCAUGCCCAGGAGGCUACAAAAUAGUUUUAAGAAGAGAAGGGGAUCAUUUUGAAGGGUUUCACAAAAACAAGGAUUAGAAUCAAACUGUGAUGAAAGAGAGCAAAACAAGAAAAUGAACACUGCACCCCUCCCAAAGCCUGAACUGCUGUCCAUCCAUGCAUGAGCAUCCUGGGUUCAAGUGCAACCGAGCUGCUUUCUCUCUGCUGCUCCUUCCAUCAAGCCCUAGUGCUUCUGCUGGUGCUUACACCUAUGGGUAGCCUGAAAAUUUACUCUUAAAAGGCACAGCAAUAAAAAUCAAAGCAGGCUUGUACGCAAGUUAAAUCUUCUGAUAAGGAGAGGUAAUGUUAUUUGUUUUCAGUCAAACGAGGGCAAUAAAAGCCAAGAUGUUUAAUGAAACCCCACCUGGUGUAUAUUGGCCUUGACACAGUAUUUUUAUUCAACAUAGCCUCCACUUAAUGGAAAUCCUUGGCAAACAGCCCGAGCCAGGGCUAUAAUGUUUGUAAAAUAGCUGUUGCUUUCAGCGUGAUUUUCCCCAGCUAAAGCCAUGUGAAUAAAAAAGCGAAGAUUCAGUAACAGUGUAAUUGUGUCACAUAAAGGCCACCCCGGGGGAAGCCAUCUGAAGUUUUAAUGUUUUAAAAUGAGUACUGAAUUCACUCAUCUUUGGUAACGAAGGCAGCUCCCGCUCCCGGGCGCAGCUGUGCGAGCGCACCGAAGGGCUGCCGAAGGAGAGCAGAACGAACGCCAUUUGCAAGUCAAGUGCCUUUAGACCCCAGAUGCUGCUGCCUCAUAGCCGCUUGCCUGCAGUUCUGUGGCCUUGACAAAGAAUAAAAGUUUCCCCUCCAGCACCAGCGCUCACCUGUGACCACCGAAGGCCUGGCUCCGAUCUCUCGCUAACGCGGGUGAUGGCCCUCCUCAAGGCAGCAGAGGAGCAGGUUGGCGCCAAGCCAGUGAAAUGACACCAAGUCAGGCUGGAUUUGAAAAGGGGCCGUCACGUACUGCUUGCUAAAAUAAACACAUCCAGCUUUGGUAGGACAGAGCUGGAGCUUCAGAGCCUCCCAAGCUUGUCCUCAGGGUCUGCCCACACCUGGGCUCUUGGUCUACCGUCCUCUUGGUGGUCAGGAGCACCCCAGGGCCACCUCACGCUUUCUGGGCUCUUGGUCUACUCCUCUUCCAUUUGGUGCUCGACCAUAAACAGCUGCAGGUAGCACACACCAUAUAUAUAUAGUUUAUGAAGAAAUGAACUGUUUUUCAUCAACAGCACAGCCACCCUCUUGCUGUGUCUCCAGUUACUGCUGUUCCCUUGGGUCUCCAGACGUUAACCCAGCCUCUGUGUCCAGUCCUGGAUGACAUCUCAGUUUGUAACUCUUCUGACCCUAACAACCCUUUCUGGAAGCCACAGAACCAGUUAAGCUCUCAGAAUAACACCCUACAGCAUUAAUUUCCAUUCAUUAGCAUUUUUUUUAUUGGCUGUUUUUACCGACCACUACUCAUUCAGGUAUCAGUACUCAGUCUCAAGGUGAGCACCAGCACCUUUCAGUAUGUAGACAGGGCUUACGGUGGGUCCUGGGAGAGGCAAGCAUACGUGCUGAGGGGAAAAUAGGCUACCUACCGAGCCAUGUCACUCUCUCAAGUAAAGGCAGAGGGUAACAGCAUUUCCUAGCUAACCUCAGGAGUAGUCUCCAUAGAGAUCAGCAGGCUAAGCAUGAGGUGGAAUUUGUCUGAGAGGAAAAUCUCUCUGAGUGGGGAUUUUGGUGAAGAGAAGCUUUCAGUCACCUCCUCUGUGAUGCUGCCUGUGUAUGGCUGCCUUGCUACGCCCAGCUGCUUCACUGCUUUACUACUCAAAGCUGGCAAAUUUGGCAUAUUUUUAGGGGAUGCUUACCUUAGGGGAUGCUUACCAUAGGGCAUGCUUUGUGAUCAUCUGGCCUCAGUCAUACCCAUAGCUGAGAGAUUUUAACAUGACUUUAAGAAAAACAUGGAGCUCAGAUACUGAAGUUUUAAGCUACCAAAAGUAGUAAGGCAUUUAUUUUCAGGGGAAAGUUGUUAUAUUGAACUUAAAAAGGACAGAAGCUGCUGUCUGUCAGACAGGCCAGGCUUCCCCAAGCGUGCCUGGAGCAUCAGAUGAUGUGGAGGGGGAACAACUGGCGUUUUCUGCAGCAGUGGUUAGAGCCCGUGUGUGAUUUUGUUGUAUCCUUUUGAACAUGAGCUCUGCGUGAUACAGAGCAUUUAAUGAGGAUUCAUGGGCCACCAUGGACCAAAAGAUUACUGAUGAGGAAUCCGGAGAUAGGCAAUUAAUGUUUUAUUAUCUGUGCUCUUAAGAUAAUGGCUGUGUCUUCUUCAUACUUGUACAGCUCCUAACAUAAUGGGGUCUUCUUUCUCUCUGUGACACUUUUUCCUUGUUCCUUUUUCACAACCUCCCCUCAAUAACCCAGCCAAAUGCAAAUAGCUAAGAGAAAAGUGACCUUUCCCCUGAUAUCCAUCUGUGCAUGGAGGGUGUCAGCAGUGCCUGGCGUCCUCUUUCAGCUGAGUUCAGUGGGAGCUGUUCAGCUGGUUUCACAAGAAGCAAAAGGAGGCUCUUUGGUCAGCCCGAAAGUCCAUCCUUUCCACACUGGACAGGAACUGAGGGGUCGCCAUUUGGUGGACGCGAGGACCUGUCCUCCCUGGCAGCUUCCACCAGGCCCUGGAUCUGCCACUGGCCUUGUAUGUACACAGCAAAGCAAGAGGGCACUUGGCCACCCCUGGCUCAUGGGUCUUCUUCAUUCUCCUGACAUGUUGGAAAGGGUAAAGACAGAUCCCUCUCCCUCAACUCUAGUUGUGUUUUUCUGCUUCUGAGGAACAGAUUCACGAGGUGACCCCAGGCAUAUGCUUGGAUGAGUGAGACGUCAAAGGUGGAGUUUGCCACCACAGUGACCCUCUCCUGGUAGCCCAAACCAUUACUGAUCCACACCAAAUGCUACGAGUGAGGCACAGAUACAUUUCAGGAUGCACUUGGAGGUCCGGGCCAGCCAAGCUUUCCAUGUUGCAAGUGCUGCGUACUCAUGCUUCUCCCAUUCCUGCUGCAGAGCCCCGUGCGAAGGUUAUCCUAAAAUCGCUUUGGUUGGGUCACUUCACAAUUUGAACACAGUAACUCCUGCCUGGGCAUGUGCCCUGCCCUUCUCUAUCCAUGAGGGGCAUAUUAGUGCUAAAAAUCCUUGAGUUAUUUGUACUUCUUAGCCCCA
Long non-coding RNA from Cygnus olor (mute swan), 6086 nucleotides. RefSeq lists it as uncharacterized. NCBI's taxonomy places the organism in Eukaryota, Metazoa, Chordata, Aves, Anseriformes, Anatidae. The transcript has 3 exons. The record is from RefSeq and is a predicted model, not a curated record.